AGUCGAGCGAUGGAUUAGAGCUUGCUCUUAUGAAGUUAGCGGCGGACGGGUGAGUAACACGUGGGUAACCUGCCCAUAAGACUGGGAUAACUCCGGGAAACCGGGGCUAAUACCGGAUAACAUUUUGAACCGCAUGGUUCGAAAUUGAAAGGCGGCUUCGGCUGUCACUUAUGGAUGGACCCGCGUCGCAUUAGCUAGUUGGUGAGGUAACGGCUCACCAAGGCAACGAUGCGUAGCCGACCUGAGAGGGUGAUCGGCCACACUGGGACUGAGACACGGCCCAGACUCCUACGGGAGGCAGCAGUAGGGAAUCUUCCGCAAUGGACGAAAGUCUGACGGAGCAACGCCGCGUGAGUGAUGAAGGCUUUCGGGUCGUAAAACUCUGUUGUUAGGGAAGAACAAGUGCUAGUUGAAUAAGCUGGCACCUUGACGGUACCUAACCAGAAAGCCACGGCUAACUACGUGCCAGCAGCCGCGGUAAUACGUAGGUGGCAAGCGUUAUCCGGAAUUAUUGGGCGUAAAGCGCGCGCA
This 531-nucleotide ribosomal RNA is filed under the name Bacillus cereus. RNAcentral describes it as "bacterial SSU rRNA". It matches the Rfam family "Bacterial small subunit ribosomal RNA", at positions 60 to 573 of the family's 1533-position model. Lineage: Bacteria; Bacillati; Bacillota; Bacilli; Caryophanales; Bacillaceae. The record is from RNAcentral.